Long non-coding RNA from Pogoniulus pusillus (Red-fronted tinkerbird), 940 nucleotides. RefSeq lists it as uncharacterized. Lineage: Eukaryota; Metazoa; Chordata; Aves; Piciformes; Lybiidae. The transcript is spliced from 4 exons. The record is from RefSeq and is a predicted model, not a curated record.
UCUCCUCAGCAGAUGAGACAGCACUGGACAAAGGAACGAGCUGUACACAAGUGGUACAAGUGUGAAGGUCAGGGGUGAGGAAGCCAAAUGACUCUCCUUGCAUCAUCCUUGUUGGAGAAGUAGCAAGAUCAAGACUAAAACUCUUCGGUUCCAGCUUUGUGCCACGGCAGCUGAGCUGCAGCCACUCAAGGCAACGAUCCGAGAGGAAACUGCACAGCAUGUUCACUUAACACUGUCUUUUGGAGCUGUGAAGCAAGCAGGUAGAGAAAGGGCCAGAGGAGGGUGUGACAUUAAAUUGUUUCUGCUCAAGGAGCUUUUAGGAGCUGCACACUGGUCUAGAGAUGCCAGAUUGCUGAUGGGAAUUUGCUCAACCUUUAAAGGAUAAAAAAAAUCCCCAGCUGCUCCAAGUUUCUUCUUACCUUGGCUUGUCACUGCCCUCCUCAUUAUCAUCUUUUAUGGCAUCUCAUGAGCUGUUGAAAGCAUCAGAGGAGGAAAUUAAGGGCCGUAUACUGUCCAGGCUCUGUGGCUGUAUGUCCCCUGAAGAGCUAUUCUCUCCUGGACGUGCCCACAAGUGGCUUCCAUGAAUGUUGCAUGGCACACUGAAGAAAGGCUGGAGAGACAAAGGAAAGAGCUAAAAUACUGCUGGAGAUCUCCCUCUUCGUUUCCCAUCCUCUGCUUCUCCUUGUAAACCUCUCCACUCCCUUUCCACAACAGAUGUAGGCAUUCCUUUGAGAUUUCUGGCCCUGCCUCACAUGAUUGCUACUCCUCAUUGCAUCCUGACUGCAUCUAGCUGUGGCCAUCAGUCCUUACUCCUUACUGCAUCUGGGGUUGCCACCAACUCCCUCUCCUUUCCUCUCUGCAUUUCAAACCCUCUGCAUGGGAUGAGCUUGGGCCCAAGACCUGAUAGAGGCUUUAAAAAUAAAGUCUUGUCUAAAAUCCA